RNAcentral lists this ribosomal RNA (432 nucleotides) under uncultured bacterium. RNAcentral's name for it is "partial 16S ribosomal RNA". It matches the Rfam family "Bacterial small subunit ribosomal RNA", at positions 29 to 507 of the family's 1533-position model. The record is from RNAcentral.
ACGCACGCUGGCGGCAGGCCUCACCCCUGCCAGUCGAGCGAGGACUUCGGUUCUAGCGGCGGACGGGUGAGUAACGCGUGGGAAUGUGCCCUUCUCUACGGAAUAGCCCUGGGAAACUGGGAGUAAUACCGUAUACGCCCUAUUGGGGAAAGAUUUAUCGGAGAAGGAUCAGCCCGCGUUGGAUUAGGUAGUUGGUGGGGUAAUGGCCUACCAAGCCGACGAUCCAUAGCUGGUUUGAGAGGAUGAUCAGCCACACUGGGACUGAGACACGGCCCAGACUCCUACGGGAGGCAGCAGUGGGGAAUCUUAGACAAUGGGGGCAACCCUGAUCUAGCCAUGCCGCGUGAGUGAUGAAGGCCUUAGGGUUGUAAAGCUCUUUCAGCUGGGAAGAUAAUGACGGUACCAGCAGAAGAAGCCCCGGCUAACUCCGUG